Molecule: ribosomal RNA, 635 nt
Filed under: Shigella sonnei
Lineage: Bacteria; Pseudomonadati; Pseudomonadota; Gammaproteobacteria; Enterobacterales; Enterobacteriaceae
Description: partial 23S ribosomal RNA
Rfam family: Bacterial large subunit ribosomal RNA
Source: RNAcentral
UGUUUGAUGUUCUAACGUGGACCCGUGAUCCGGGUUGCGGACAGUGUCUGGUGGGUAGUUUGACUGGGGCGGUCUCCUCCUAAAGAGUAACGGAGGAGCACGAAGGUUGGCUAAUCCUGGUCGGACAUCAGGAGGUUAGUGCAAUGGCAUAAGCCAGCUUGACUGCGAGCGUGACGGCGCGAGCAGGUGCGAAAGCAGGUCAUAGUGAUCCGGUGGUUCUGAAUGGAAGGGCCAUCGCUCAACGGAUAAAAGGUACUCCGGGGAUAACAGGCUGAUACCGCCCAAGAGUUCAUAUCGACGGCGGUGUUUGGCACCUCGAUGUCGGCUCAUCACAUCCUGGGGCUGAAGUAGGUCCCAAGGGUAUGGCUGUUCGCCAUUUAAAGUGGUACGCGAGCUGGGUUUAGAACGUCGUGAGACAGUUCGGUCCCUAUCUGCCGUGGGCGCUGGAGAACUGAGGGGGGCUGCUCCUAGUACGAGAGGACCGGAGUGGACGCAUCACUGGUGUUCGGGUUGUCAUGCCAAUGGCACUGCCCGGUAGCUAAAUGCGGAAGAGAUAAGUGCUGAAAGCAUCUAAGCACGAAACUUGCCCCGAGAUGAGUUCUCCCUGACCCUUUAAGGGUCCUGAAGGAACGUUG